This 490-nucleotide ribosomal RNA is filed under the name uncultured bacterium. RNAcentral's name for it is "partial 16S ribosomal RNA". It matches the Rfam family "Bacterial small subunit ribosomal RNA", at positions 30 to 507 of the family's 1533-position model. The record is from RNAcentral.
AUUGAACGCCGGCGGCAGGCCUAACACAUGCACGUCGAACGGUAACAGGAAGAAGCUUGCUUCUUUGCUGACGAGCGGCGGACGGGUGAGUAAUGUCUGGGAAACUGCCCGAUGGAGGGGGAUAACUACUGGAAACGGUAGCUAAUACCGCAUAACGUCGCAAGACCAAAGAGGGGGACCUUCGGGCCUCUUGCCAUCUGAUGUGCCCAGAUGGGCUUAGCUAGUAGGUGGGGUAACGGCUCACCUAGGCGACGAUCCAUAGCUGGUCUAAGAGGAUGACCAGCCACACUAGAAUCGAGAUAUGGUGGAAGAGCAUACGGAAUGCAACAGUGAGGAAUAUUGUACAAAGGGCGCAAUCCUGAUGCAUGCAUGCCGCGUAUAGGGAGAAGGUCUUCGGGUUGUGAAGUAGUUUCAGUGGGGAAGAACGGAGUGAAGUUAAUAGCUUGUCUCUGUGACGUGGCCCGCAGAAGAAGCACCGGCUAACUCCGUG